RNAcentral lists this ribosomal RNA (468 nucleotides) under uncultured bacterium. RNAcentral's name for it is "partial 16S ribosomal RNA". It matches the Rfam family "Bacterial small subunit ribosomal RNA", at positions 28 to 507 of the family's 1533-position model. The record is from RNAcentral.
GACGAACGCUGGCGGCGUGCUUAACACAUGCAAGUCGAACGGAAAGGCCAUGCUCUUGCGGGGUUCUCGAGUGGCGAACGCGUGAGUAACACGCGAGUAACCUGCCCCUGUCUUAGGGAUAUCUUCAGGAAACUGGGGCUAAUACAGGAUAGGAGCUCCUGCAGCACGGUGUGGGUUGGAGAGUUACGGCGGUGUGGGAUGGACUCGCGGGUUAUGCGCUUGAUUGUGGGGUUGGGGCGUACGAAGGUUUUGAAGGCUAGGCGGCCUGAGAGAGUGGCCAGGCACAAUGGGACUGCGGUACGGAGCAGAAUCCUAUGGGACGCAGCAGGGGGGAAUAUUGCAGAACGGGCGCGAGCCUGAGGCGGCAGCGCCGCGUGCGUGAUGACGGGCUUCGGGUGGUGAACCACUUUCGCCUGUGACGAAGCGUGAGUGACGGUAAUGGGUAAAGAAGCACCGGCUAACUACGUG